Molecule: long non-coding RNA, 252 nt
Organism: Condylura cristata (star-nosed mole)
Lineage: Eukaryota; Metazoa; Chordata; Mammalia; Eulipotyphla; Talpidae
Exons: 4
Source: RefSeq, a predicted model, not a curated record
GAACAUGCAGAUCUCCGAAGUACACUGCUGAGGGGAGCAGCAGAUUACCACUGUCAUGUGAAUUCAGGCUUCAAGUUCAUGUGAGGACCAAGACUUGUCACUUACCAUCUCAAAAGUAAUCCUCUUAUCUCAUCCCAAAACCAGGAGCUGGAGAGGUGUUGCUGUCCUUUGCCCCAACAUCCCCCGACAAAGGCCUGGAUAUAAACUGAGACAACACAACUAGGCCCUCCCUGGUGGCGCAGCAGGUUCAAG